This is a long non-coding RNA of Spinacia oleracea (spinach), 594 nucleotides long. RefSeq lists it as uncharacterized. NCBI's taxonomy places the organism in Eukaryota, Viridiplantae, Streptophyta, Magnoliopsida, Caryophyllales, Amaranthaceae. The transcript is spliced from 3 exons. The record is from RefSeq and is a predicted model, not a curated record.
GCUCCUCCUUAACCAUGAUGUUGGUUUUCCGCACAGCACCACCACUGUCAACCGCUGCCACCUUGCCACGCCGCACCGCGACGACCACCUGCACCGCCUGAAGCUGGCCGUCGUCGCUGCCCUUGCGGCCAUCACUUCUCUCGUUCGUCCCUUCUCUUUUCCCCCUUUGCUUGCUGCUCGGUUCUCCUUUCGCAAGCAACAUUGCAGUCGUUCGCGAGCCUCCUCGUCGCCGCGCACCACCACCUUCGUCAACCAGCCAUCAGCCGCCGCCCAGCCAUCUCCUCUCCUCCUUGAUUUCGGCGGAGAAUUCUUUGUGGGCGACUUUUGAAUUCGUUAAAGUGGCCUAUCAGUUUGUUUACACAAGUCUCUAAGGAUCAAUAAGCAUUGUCCAUCUGCAGGUUUGAAGAUGUUGCAUCAUUGGGAUCGGGAAUAGAGAGCUUGUAUUUAGUUUUGAUUUGCUAAGUUGACUUGGGUUUGUUUAAUUGGACUUUAAACUGGUCGUACUAUUUAUAUUUCCUUAUUUUUCGUUUAUUGGUUUUUGGGAUUAAACCUGUAAUCGAUUAUUUAUAAACCUAAAGUUAGUUUUAUGUUUUC